Long non-coding RNA from Scleropages formosus (Asian bonytongue), 244 nucleotides. RefSeq lists it as uncharacterized. Lineage: Eukaryota; Metazoa; Chordata; Actinopteri; Osteoglossiformes; Osteoglossidae. The record is from RefSeq and is a predicted model, not a curated record. The transcript is spliced from 3 exons.
AAUCAUAAGGAGCUGCUGAGACUAAGGAGGAGGGAGACGGGACUAGGAAGGGACGGCAGGAUCGGGAAGGAGUGAAGGCAAUACUGUGCUAUAGGUCUGAGUACAGAUGUGCACUCUGUACAGCAGUACGUACCAGGGAGUGAACAGAGCCCCCCCCAGUUGAAGAUUGGAAGAUGCAGGCUGGACUUGUAGCAAGAUCAGAGGCUCCAGCUUUUUUUCUCGACCACGUCCACGGAUCUUCGUU